AAAGGCUUAGGUUCAAAUAAGACCAAAGGCCUUCAAAGCCUUAAGCAGGUGUAAAAUCGCCUAGCCUUUG
Molecule: non-coding RNA, 70 nt
Organism: Sarcophilus harrisii (Tasmanian devil)
Lineage: Eukaryota; Metazoa; Chordata; Mammalia; Dasyuromorphia; Dasyuridae
Source: Ensembl